This 439-nucleotide ribosomal RNA is filed under the name uncultured bacterium. RNAcentral describes it as "bacterial SSU rRNA". It matches the Rfam family "Bacterial small subunit ribosomal RNA", at positions 959 to 1397 of the family's 1533-position model. The record is from RNAcentral.
ACGCGCGGAACCUUACCAGGUCUUGACAUCCUUCGCUACUUCUAGAGAUAGAAGGUUCCCCUUCGGGGGACGAAGUGACAGGUGGUGCAUGGUUGUCGUCAGCUCGUGUCGUGAGAUGUUGGGUUAAGUCCCGCAACGAGCGCAACCCUUGAUCUUAGUUGCCAGCAUUAGGUUGGGCACUCUAAGGUGACUGCCGGUGACAAACCGGAGGAAGGUGGGGAUGACGUCAAAUCAUCAUGCCCCUUAUGACCUGGGCUACACACGUGCUACAAUGGAUGGUACAAAGGGCUGCAAGACCGCGAGGUCAAGCCAAUCCCAUAAAACCAUUCUCAGUUCGGAUUGCAGGCUGCAACUCGCCUGCAUGAAGCCGGAAUCGCUAGUAAUCGCGGAUCAGCAUGCCGCGGUGAAUACGUUCCCGGGCCUUGCACACACCGCCCGU